GGGCGUCAUACUCUGGUGGCUGGUCCUGAACCCGGCCUCGGGGUGAGGGGCGAGAUCUUUUGAGGCUGGCGGCCCGGGGAUCCUGUCGGCAGGAGCCUCGGGUGGCGAGAUUGAAAAUACCGACUACGGAUGUAGAAGCCUGCCGCUGAGGGUUUCCGGACGAGGGUUCGAUACCCUCCACCUCCACCA
RNAcentral lists this transfer-messenger RNA (189 nucleotides) under Candidatus Rokuibacteriota bacterium. RNAcentral describes it as "partial transfer-messenger RNA". It matches the Rfam family "transfer-messenger RNA", at positions 181 to 374 of the family's 374-position model. Rfam says of the family: Bacterial tmRNA, also known as 10Sa RNA or SsrA, is named for its dual tRNA and mRNA-like properties. Its role is to liberate the mRNA from a stalled ribosome. Lineage: Bacteria; Candidatus Rokuibacteriota. The record is from RNAcentral.